CCUACGGGAGGCAGCAGUGAGGAAUAUUGGGCAAUGGGCGGAAGCCUGAACAAGCCAAGUAGCGGGCGGGAUGAAGGCCCUACGGGGCGUAAACCGCAGUUGCACGGGGAUAACACACGCCACGUGUGGAGGUCUGCAGGUACCGUGCGAAUAAGGGCCGGCUAAUCCCGGGCCAGCAGCCGCGGUAAUACGGGAGGCCCGAGGGGUAUCCGGAUUCCUUGGGCGUAAAGGGAGCGUAGGCGGGCGUGUAAGUCAGCUGUAAAAUCGCGCGGCUCAACCGCGCCCCGCAGUUGAAACUGGACGCCUUGAGUUCACGACAGGCAGGCGGAAUUCGUGGUGUAGCGGUGACCUGCAUAGAU
RNAcentral lists this ribosomal RNA (359 nucleotides) under uncultured bacterium. RNAcentral's name for it is "partial 16S ribosomal RNA". It matches the Rfam family "Bacterial small subunit ribosomal RNA", at positions 338 to 695 of the family's 1533-position model. The record is from RNAcentral.